GAUACGAGGCAAAAUGGGCGAAACAAUUGGAUGCUAAUAAAAUACUUAUAUUCCUGUGAUUUCAUGUACCAAAUUGAACUUCGUAUCAAGUAUGCAUACUGUCAGUCAUUCCAAAAAGUUGACUUAAUAGCACUCAGUCACUUUCCAUCCAAUAGACCCAUCAUGUUGUCAAAAGCCUAAAACUCAUGUGUGAAGCUCACAUAUCGUGGAAUACAAAUGUGCGGAGACAAGGUAUUUCCCCAUUACUGCUACCACACCAACCACACCACGUCAAAUGCCUUACUCACUUCAGCACCAUUCACCCAUAUGAUAAAGCAUCAGGAAAUUUACCGCAACCUGAGGAGUAAGGCUGUUGGUUGCUGUGAUUUCCAUUUUUGCGGUAUUUCAUCAUGAAAACUUCAGUGUGCUUGUUAGUAUAGAGCAUGUAAUAGAUCCUUAAGCCAAUGCUGACCUUUGUCCAUGAAGGAAGAGGGACAUCCAGCAACGUUCUGCUCCAUCCUUAUCUUCCUGACGUACACUCAUCUAGCUUCACUGCUUUUGCUGCUACAACUUCACCGACGAGUGUCUUACUUCACCGACGAGUUGGAACACUUCAGUGGUCGCUACCCUUUGCUGAUACACACCUACAGUUACUCACCACGGGAUUAUGCCCAGGUAAUGCAGAAGAGACGUCGAGAAGAUGCACACCAAAACAUCGCCGGUAUCUCCAAAUUGUCA
This 717-nucleotide long non-coding RNA is filed under the name Daphnia pulicaria. RNAcentral describes it as "uncharacterized LOC124312221". The record is from RNAcentral. Lineage: Eukaryota; Metazoa; Arthropoda; Branchiopoda; Diplostraca; Daphniidae.